GAGGAAUAUUGGUCAAUGGGCGAGAGCCUGAACCAGCCAAGUCGCGUGAAGGAUGACUGUCUUAUGGAUUGUAAACUUCUUUUAUACGGGAAUAACAAGAGUCACGUGUGACUCCCUGCAUGUACCGUAUGAAUAAGCAUCGGCUAACUCCGUGCCAGCAGCCGCGGUAAUACGGAGGAUGCGAGCGUUAUCCGGAUUUAUUGGGUUUAAAGGGUGCGUAGGCGGCCUGUUAAGUCAGCGGUGAAAUCUAGGAGCUUAACUCCUAAAUUGCCAUUGAUACUGGCGGGCUUGAGUGUAGAUGAGGUAGGCGGAAUGCGUGGUGUAGCGGUGGAAUGCAUAGAUAUCACGCAGAACUCCGAUUGCGAAGGCAGCUUACUAAGGUACAACUGACGCUGAAGCACGAAAGCGUGGGUAUCAAACAGGAUUAGAUACCCUGGUAGUCCACGCAGUAAACGAUGAUAACUGGGCGUAUGCGAUAUACAGUAUGCUCCUAAGCGAAAGCGUUAAGUUAUCCACCUGGAGAGUACGCCGGCAACGGUG
RNAcentral lists this ribosomal RNA (540 nucleotides) under uncultured bacterium. RNAcentral describes it as "bacterial SSU rRNA". It matches the Rfam family "Bacterial small subunit ribosomal RNA", at positions 356 to 896 of the family's 1533-position model. The record is from RNAcentral.